UAGGGAAUCUUCGGCAAUGGACGGAAGUCUGACCGAGCAACGCCGCGUGAGUGAAGAAGGUUUUCGGAUCGUAAAGCUCUGUUGUAAGAGAAGAACGAGUGUGAGAGUGGAAAGUUCACACUGUGACGGUAUCUUACCAGAAAGGGACGGCUAACUACGUGCCAGCAGCCGCGGUAAUACGUAGGUCCCGAGCGUUAUCCGGAUUUAUUGGGCGUAAAGCGAGCGCAGGCGGUUAGAUAAGUCUGAAGUUAAAGGCUGUGGCUUAACCAUAGUACGCUUUGGAAACUGUUUAACUUGAGUGCAAGAGGGGAGAGUGGAAUUCCAUGUGUAGCGGUGAAAUGCGUAGAUAUAUGGAGGAACACCGGUGGCGAAAGCGGCUCUCUGGCUUGUAACUGACGCUGAGGCUCGAAAGCGUGGGGAGCAAACAGGAUUAGAUACCCUGGUAGUCCACGCCGUAAACGAUGAGUGCUAGGUGUUAGACCCUUUCCGGGGUUUAGUGNCGUAGCUAACGCAUUAAGCACUCCGCCUGGGGAGUACNACCGCAAGGNUG
Molecule: ribosomal RNA, 550 nt
Filed under: uncultured bacterium
Lineage: Bacteria
Description: bacterial SSU rRNA
Rfam family: Bacterial small subunit ribosomal RNA
Source: RNAcentral